This 32-nucleotide ribosomal RNA is filed under the name Zea mays. Lineage: Eukaryota; Viridiplantae; Streptophyta; Magnoliopsida; Poales; Poaceae. The record is from RNAcentral.
GGUCCUGCGGCAAAAUAGCUCGAUGCCAGAAU